This 770-nucleotide ribosomal RNA is filed under the name uncultured Neocallimastigales. RNAcentral's name for it is "partial large subunit ribosomal RNA". It matches the Rfam family "Eukaryotic large subunit ribosomal RNA", at positions 22 to 648 of the family's 3401-position model. Lineage: Eukaryota; Fungi; Neocallimastigomycota; Neocallimastigomycetes; Neocallimastigales. The record is from RNAcentral.
GUACACGCUGUGACUAGCAUAUCAAUAAGCGGAGGAAAAGAAACUAACAAGGAUUCCCUCAGUAACGGCGAGUGAAGCGGGAAGAGCUCAAAUUUGAAAUCUUGAAAGGUCACCUUUCACGAAUUGUAGUUUAAAGAAGUGUUUUCUGUUACGAUCGUAAUAUAAGUUCUUUGGAAUAGGACAUCACAGAGGGUGAGAAUCCCGUCUAUGAUUGCGAUUUGUAGCUUUGUGAUACACUUUCAAAGAGUCGGGUUGUUUGGGAAUGCAGCCCAAAACGGGAGGUAAAUUUCUUCUAAGGCUAAAUAUUGGCGAGAGACCGAUAGCGAACAAGUACCGUGAGGGAAAGAUGAAAAGAACUUUGAAAAGAGAGUUAAAUAGUACGUGAAAUUGUCAAAAGGGAAGCGUUUAACACCAGUGUUGUUUUCUGAAAAUCAACCUCUGUUAGCUUUAUGCAUGUUUGUUUAGACCUAAUCAGCUAUCUUGCAUGUUCUAUUGUUUGCAGUGGUGCACUUUUCAGUUUACAGGUCAACAUCAGUUUUUUUUACCGUAAAAAAGUUAAAGAAAGGUAGCUCAUGGCUCCGGUCGUGAGUGUUAUAGUCUUUUUCCUAUGCGGUAGGAGAGACUGAGGUCUGCAGUGUAGGCUAUUUGGCUAGAUACUCAGGUGCUAUGUGAUACCAUUUCAUAAACAACUUGUUGAUUAUGUUUUGUCUAUUGCAUACUCGCUUGUACUAUCAUACCUACGCUUAGGAUGUUGAGUAGCGACAUACGCC